GACCAGCUGCAUUUUAGCCAUGGCUUUACAGAGCACUCUGGAAGCGGUGUGGCUGAGCCUCCUCCUCAGCUUUCUCUGGAAAGUUGCAGAAAGCAAGGACCAAGUACUUCAGCCUUCCACUGUGGUAUCUUCGGAGGGAGCUGUGGCAGAAAUCUCCUGUAAUCACUCUAUAUCCACUGCUUACAACUUCUUCUGGUACCUUCACCUCCCAGGAUGUGCACCAAGACUCCUUAUUAAGGGCUCAAGCCCUUCUCAGCAGGGACGCUACAAUAUGACAUAUGAGCGAUUCUCCUCAUCACUGCUCAUCCUCCAGGUGCAGGUGGCAGACGCUGCCACUUACUACUGUGCUCUGGAGGACACAGAGGCAGGGAACCCAUGA
This is a non-coding RNA of Equus quagga, 379 nucleotides long. The record is from the annotation of a RefSeq genome assembly. NCBI's taxonomy places the organism in Eukaryota, Metazoa, Chordata, Mammalia, Perissodactyla, Equidae.